CCUACGGGUGGCAGCAGUCGAGAAUCAUUCACAAUGGGGGAAACCCUGAUGGGGCGACGCCGCGUGGGGGAAUGAAGGUCUUCGGAUUGUAAACCCCUGUCAUGUGGGAGCAAAUUAAAAAGAUAGUACCACAAGAGGAAGAGACGGCUAACUCUGUGCCAGCAGCCGCGGUAAUACAGAGGUCUCAAGCGUUGUUCGGAAUCACUGGGCGUAAGGCGUGCGUAGGCUGUUUCGUAAGUCGUGUGUGAAAGGCGCGGGCUCAACCCGCGGACGGCACAUGAUACUGCGAGACUAGAGUAAUGGAGGGGGAACCGGAAUUCUCGGUGUAGCAGUGAAAUGCGUAGAUAUCGAGAGGAACACUCGUGGCGAAGGCGGGUUCCUGGACAUUAACUGACGCUGAGGCACGAAGGCCAGGGGAGCGAAAGGGAUUAGAUACCCGAGUAGUC
RNAcentral lists this ribosomal RNA (446 nucleotides) under uncultured bacterium. RNAcentral describes it as "partial 16S ribosomal RNA". It matches the Rfam family "Bacterial small subunit ribosomal RNA", at positions 338 to 795 of the family's 1533-position model. The record is from RNAcentral.